RNAcentral lists this ribosomal RNA (823 nucleotides) under uncultured Acidobacteriota bacterium. Its description in RNAcentral is "bacterial SSU rRNA". It matches the Rfam family "Bacterial small subunit ribosomal RNA", at positions 8 to 844 of the family's 1533-position model. The record is from RNAcentral. Lineage: Bacteria; Pseudomonadati; Acidobacteriota.
AGGGUUUGAUCCUGGCUCAGAAUCAACGCUGGCGGCGUGCCUCAGACAUGCAAGUCGAACGAUUAAAGCUCCCUUCGGGGAGUGCAUAAAGUGGCGCACGGGUGAGUAACACGUAAGUAAUCUACCCUCGGGUGGGGAAUAACAUCGGGAAACCGAUGCUAAUACCGCAUAAUGCAGCGGCACCGCAAGGUGACAGUUGUUAAAGAUUUAUUGCCUGGGGAGGAGCUUGCGGCAGAUUAGCUUGUUGGUAAGGUAACGGCUUACCAAGGCUACGAUCUGUAUCCGGUCUAAGAGGACGGUCGGACACACUGACACUGAAUAACGGGUCAGACUCCUACGGGAGGCAGCAGUCGGGAAUUUUGGGCAAUGGGGGAAACCCUGACCCAGCAACGCCGCGUGAAGGAUGAAGUAUUUCGGUAUGUAAACUUCGAAAGAAUAGGAAGAAUUAAUGACGGUACUAUUUAUAAGGUCCGGCUAACUACGUGCCAGCAGCCGCGGUAAUACGUAGGGACCAAGCGUUGUUCGGAUUUACUGGGCGUAAAGGGCGCGUAGGCGGCGCGGUAAGUCACUUGUGAAAUCUCUGAGCUUAACUCAGAACGGCCAAGUGAUACUGCAGUGCUAGAGUGUGGAAGGGGCAAUCGGAAUUCUUGGUGUAGCGGUGAAAUGCGUAGAUAUCAAGAGGAACACCUGAGGUGAAGACGGGUUGCUGGGCCAACACUGACGCUGAGGCGCGAAAGCCAGGGGAGCAAACGGGAUUAGAUACCCCGGUAGUCCUGGCCCUAAACGAUGAAUACUUGGUGUCUGGAGUUUUAAUGCUCCGGGU